RNAcentral lists this ribosomal RNA (386 nucleotides) under Pygoscelis antarcticus (chinstrap penguin). RNAcentral's name for it is "partial 12S ribosomal RNA". It matches the Rfam family "Bacterial small subunit ribosomal RNA", at positions 846 to 1394 of the family's 1533-position model. The record is from RNAcentral. Lineage: Eukaryota; Metazoa; Chordata; Aves; Sphenisciformes; Spheniscidae.
CCUUCUAUCACCAAAGUAUCCGCCUGAGAACUACGAGCACAAACGCUUAAAACUCUAAGGACUUGGCGGUGCCCCAGACCCACCUAGAGGAGCCUGUUCUAUAAUCGAUAACCCACGAUGCACCCGACCGCCCCUUGCCAAAACAGCCUAUAUACCGCCGUCGCCAGCCCACCUCCCCUGAAAGAACAACAGUGGACAUAAUAGCCCCAACCCCGCUAACAAGACAGGUCAAGGUAUAGCCUAUGGGGCGGAAGAAAUGGGCUACAUUUUCUAAGAUAGAUAACUUCACGGAAGGGGACAUGAAAUUGCCCCCGGAAGGCGGAUUUAGCAGUAAGGUGGGACAAUAAGCCCACUUUAAGCUGGCCCUGAGGCACGUACAUACCGCC